CACGUAGGAGGCAAACGUUAUCCGGAUUUACUGGGCGUAAAGCGCAUGUAGGUGGUUCUGUAAGUAGGGCGUGAAAGCUCCCGGGUCAACUGGGAGAGGCCGUUCUAAACUACAGAGCUAGAGGAUGGUAGAGGGAGGUGGAAUUCCGGGUGUAGCGGUGGAAUGCGCAGAUAUCCGGAGGAACACCAGUGGCGAAAGCGGCCUCCUGGUCCAUUCCUGACACUCAGAUGCGAAAGCUAGGGUAGCAAACGGGAUUAGAUACCCCCGUAGUCCCUGAGCGGG
This 282-nucleotide ribosomal RNA is filed under the name uncultured prokaryote. Its description in RNAcentral is "partial 16S ribosomal RNA". It matches the Rfam family "Bacterial small subunit ribosomal RNA", at positions 524 to 803 of the family's 1533-position model. The record is from RNAcentral.